Molecule: ribosomal RNA, 381 nt
Filed under: uncultured eukaryote
Lineage: Eukaryota
Description: partial 18S ribosomal RNA
Rfam family: Eukaryotic small subunit ribosomal RNA
Source: RNAcentral
CAAUAGCGUAUAUUAAAGUUGUUGCAGUUAAAAAGCUCGUAGUUGGAUUUCUGGUUGAAGCGACCGGUCGGGCGUUGAUUCGUCUGCACUGGAGUCGGUUUUGGCCAUCCUCUAGGAAAGUGCGUCUGGUAUUAAGUUAUCGGGCGUAUGAUCCUGGUCUUUUACUGUGAAAAAAUUAGAGUGUUUAGAGCAGGCCUUCGCCUUGAAUACAUUAGCAUGGAAUAAUAAGAUAGGACUUUGGUCUAUUUUGUUGGUUUGCAGACCGAAGUAAUGAUUAAUAGGGAUAGUUGGGGGUAUUUAUAUUCCGAUGUCAGAGGUGAAAUUCUUAGAUUUUCGGAAGAUAAACUUAUGCGAAAGCAUUUACCAAGGAUGUUUUCAUUA